CGAAGUUCAGUACAGUAUAAGCUUCAGAUGAAUCAGUACGCGUUUGUGUUUCAUUGCAACAAACGAUUUGGAGUGACAGUGUUACUGGGAUGUUCCUAUUCUUGAUUCUUUCUUGAAAUUCACUGCUGUACAUGUAAUAUUUGGAAGCAGAAUUUUUUGUUAGACAUCAGUAGCACCGUGAGAGGUCAAAGUUUAUUUUGAGAAUGUUUAUGUAAUUACAGUAAUUUGUAUAAGAAAGUAAGUUAGGGUGAACGUGGGGGACUUGAAAAUGUUCCCACGUUCCCGCUGCGCAAGUGUGUGUUGCACGUGCGUGUGAAAUUCUUCAGUAAGAAGAUGAACGCCCAGGGGCAAGAGCACGGUCAUGCUGUCGUUGUGUGGGAGUGGGAAAAUCGUCACGGACGAUGGAGACCUUACAGCCCUGCGGUAUCGCAACAUCUCGAAAGAGCACAUUGCAAAAAACUUACUCGAGUUUUCCUUAAUGAUGCGGACCCAAAUUUAGAUAGGUACUAUAUAAAUUUGAAGACUAAAACACAAUGCAGCGAGAAUGGGGAUGAAACGCAUAAUGUUAGAAGGAAGUUUUAUCUUCCAAGCUCACCAGCUGGAAAGGGAGCUAAGUGGGAAUGGGCUGGUGAUACAGAUGAUUGGCACACAUAUGAUAUGGAAGUGCAAUGUCUCAUAGAAGAAGCAUGGGCAAGAGGAGACAAAACUAUUGAUAUAUCUAAGACAUACUUAGGUUUUCCUUAUAUAAUCAAUUUUUGUAAUUUAACUCAAGUACGUUGUUGUACUGGAUAUGUAAGGCCAAUACGCCGUAUUCAACAAGCGCCCUAUCCUUUGGUUAAAGUUGCUCUAGAAGAGUUACAAAUUAUAUCUGGAAAAAAACCCACAUGUGUAACUGUUAAAAGUUCUACUACAAAAAUUGCUCAUAAGAAAUCAGCUACAGGAAAUGCCAAAAAAAAUAAGAAGGGAAAGAAUGGAGAUACUGGUCCAUCUAACAUAGCUCGUGUUAUUUUGAGCAAUUUUAACAUAUUUAGUAACAAACAUGGUAUAGAAAAUAGUAAUUCGGUCACAGCUAUUGAAUCUGGACAAAAAAGAAAAACAUGGGAUAAUGCAUUGGAUGUAGAUUCUAGUAGCACAAAAAGCGGACGAAGACCUAGUGUUGAUACUGUUUCUACAUACCUAAGUCAUGAAAAUCCAGUAGAUUUAUUGGAUAGCAGUGUAGGGAGUGAUGAUGCAUUUAAGGAUUCCGUUUUAGAUACCGAGUCGGAUGUUAUUUCUCAAUAUGUAAAAGUAGUAGAAAGCGAUGAUUCUGAUUCUUGCCCUGUGUGCCUUGGUAUGCCUGAGCCACUAACAGUAGAGUUGACUCGUUGUAGACAUAGAUUACAUUUGGCAUGUUUAAAUGCUAUGCUAAGUUGUCAGCAACCUCCUAUGUACAUACAGUGUCCAGUUUGUCGUUUAAUUUAUGGAGAAAAACGGGGAAAUCAACCUCCGGGAACUAUGAAUUGGACAAGAAUACCGCGUGCUCUUCCUGGUUUUCCAAAUACAAAUACGAUACAAAUAACUUAUGAUAUUCCAUCAGGAAUUCAAGGAAAUGAACAUCCCAAUCCUGGUCAAGCUUAUUAUGCUGUAGGCUUUCCUAGAGUGUGUUACCUUCCUGACAAUAAUUUAGGCCGUAGAGUUUUAAGACUAUUACAAAUCGCGUUUGAAAGAAGACUGAUAUUUACGAUCGGACGAUCAGUAACCACUGGGCGAGAGGAUGUAGUAACGUGGAAUGAAAUUCACCACAAGACUGAAUUGGGACCAUCGACAUCUGGUCACGGUUAUCCUGACACAAGUUAUCUCGAAAGAACAUUAGCUGAAUUAGCAGCUCAAGGUGUAACAGAUGGGCAACUGUCUCCUGCAGUAUAUCAAACAUUACAUUGAGUAUAUCACAUGCAAUAAUGUGCUGACAUUAAUAUAUUAUAAAUGCACAGUGUCAUAUUAUAAUAUUCUUCAGUUGUUUCUAAACAGAUGAUGAAAAACUUGCAGUCUUGAUAGUCUUGGAAAUGCAAAACUGAUUUUAUCGAGGAUCUAGCGUCAUUAUAAGAAGAACAUGUAAUCUGGGGAUAGCUAAUGGGAAAGGAAGGCUUCCCCAUUUUUCCUGGAGAAGCCUACCAUGCUCAUGAAAAACAAAUUUAUACAUAUAUAGCACAUAACGCACACAAUUUCUUUCUAAGAAAUAAAGAAUGUUUUAAUUAUAUUCUUGUAGAUUAAGGAUUUAUUUAAAAUA
Osmia bicornis bicornis is the source of this 2266-nucleotide RNA transcript. It is a transcript of the gene named protein deltex, with no coding region annotated. Lineage: Eukaryota; Metazoa; Arthropoda; Insecta; Hymenoptera; Megachilidae. The transcript is spliced from 7 exons. The record is from RefSeq and is a predicted model, not a curated record.